RNAcentral lists this ribosomal RNA (531 nucleotides) under uncultured bacterium. RNAcentral describes it as "partial 16S ribosomal RNA". It matches the Rfam family "Bacterial small subunit ribosomal RNA", at positions 355 to 873 of the family's 1533-position model. The record is from RNAcentral.
UGGGGAAUAUUGCACAAUGGGCGCAAGCCUGAUGCAGCCAUGCCGCGUGUGUGAAGAAGGCCUUCGGGUUGUAAAGCACUUUCAGCGAGGAGGAAGGUGGUGAGCUUAAUACGCUCAUCAAUUGACGUUACUCGCAGAAGAAGCACCGGCUAACUCCGUGCCAGCAGCCGCGGUAAUACGGAGGGUGCAAGCGUUAAUCGGAAUUACUGGGCGUAAAGCGCACGCAGGCGGUUUGUUAAGUCAGAUGUGAAAUCCCCGGGCUCAACCUGGGAACUGCAUUUGAAACUGGCAAGCUAGAGUCUCGUAGAGGGGGGUAGAAUUCCAGGUGUAGCGGUGAAAUGCGUAGAGAUCUGGAGGAAUACCGGUGGCGAAGGCGGCCCCCUGGACGAAGACUGACGCUCAGGUGCGAAAGGCGUGGGGCAGCAAACAGGAUUAGAUACCCUGGUAGUCCACGCUGUAAAACGAUGUCGAUUUUGGAGGUUGUGCCCCUUGAGGCGUGGNUUCCGGAGCUAACGNGUUAAAUCGACCGCC